GGGAGGGGCGGGCGCGGGGGGAGGGGCGGGAGCGGCCCAAGGGGGGCCCCGAGGAGAAGAAAAAAGACUCAGAGGUGCUGAAACAGCUGAGGGCGGAGCUCAAGAAGGCGCAGGAGAACCAGAAGGAGAUGAAGAACUGCUGCUGGACAUGUACAAAUCAGCGCCCAAGGAGCAGCGCGACAAGGUGACGCUGAUGGCCGCCGAGAGGAAGAGCAAGGCGAGGUAAUUAGAGCUGCGGGGGCGCUGGCGGGAGCUGGAGGAGCGCGA
Molecule: long non-coding RNA, 267 nt
Organism: Poecile atricapillus (Black-capped chickadee)
Lineage: Eukaryota; Metazoa; Chordata; Aves; Passeriformes; Paridae
Exons: 3
Source: RefSeq, a predicted model, not a curated record